GUUAAAAGAAAAGAAAAGGAGGGAGGGAGAGAGAGAGAGAUUCAUAUGCAGCUCUCCUGCGGAUGCGUUUAAUGCCGCACUGCAGAACAGACCAGGCUUGGGGGAGUGGGCUCGCACACCUGUCCACAGGGGUCAUCCCAGUGGGACACACACACACACACACACACACACACACACACACACCGUGCUUCUCGUCUCUGGUCCGAGAGUAAAGGGCACACAAGACCCGCUGCCCUGAGUUAAAGUCGUCGCUUUCAAAU
Molecule: long non-coding RNA, 260 nt
Organism: Alosa sapidissima (American shad)
Lineage: Eukaryota; Metazoa; Chordata; Actinopteri; Clupeiformes; Clupeidae
Exons: 2
Source: RefSeq, a predicted model, not a curated record